AGGUGGCUCAUUAAGUCACAUGUGAAAUCCCCGGGCUUAACCUGGGAACUGCAUGUGAUACUGGUGGUGCUAGAAUAUGUGAGAGGGAAGUAGAAUUCCAGGUGUAGCGGUGAAAUGCGUAGAGAUCUGGAGGAAUACCGAUGGCGAAGGCAGCUUCCUGGCAUAAUAUUGACACUGAGAUUCGAAAGCGUGGGUAGCAAACAGGAUUAGAUACCCUGGUAGUCCACGCCGUAAACGAUGUCUACUAGCCGUUGGGGUCCUUGAGACUUUAGUGGCGCAGUUAACGCGAUAAGUAGACCGCCUGGGGAGUACGGCCGCAAGGUUAAAACUCAAAUGAAUUGACGGGGGCCCGCACAAGCGGUGGAGCAUGUGGUGUAAUUCGAUGCAACGCGAAGAACCUUACCUGGUCUUGACAUAUUGAGAAUCUUUCAGAGAUGAGAGAGUGCCUUCGGGAAUUCACAUACAGGUGCUGCAUGGCUGUCGUCAGCUCGUGUCGUGAGAUGUUGGGUUAAGUCCCGCAACGAGCGCAACCCUUUUCCUUAUUUGCCAGCGGGUUAAGCCGGGAACUUUAAGGAUACUGCCAGUGACAAACUGGAGGAAGGCGGGGACGACGUCAAGUCAUCAUGGCCCUUACGACCAGGGCUACACACGUGCUACAAUGGUAGGUACAGAGGGUUGCUACACAGCGAUGUGAUGCUAAUCUCAAAAAGCCUAUCGUAGUCCGGAUUGGAGUCUGCAACUCGACUCCAUGAAGUCG
RNAcentral lists this ribosomal RNA (757 nucleotides) under uncultured bacterium. RNAcentral's name for it is "bacterial SSU rRNA". It matches the Rfam family "Bacterial small subunit ribosomal RNA", at positions 573 to 1328 of the family's 1533-position model. The record is from RNAcentral.